Molecule: small RNA, 554 nt
Filed under: Pongo abelii (Sumatran orangutan)
Lineage: Eukaryota; Metazoa; Chordata; Mammalia; Primates; Hominidae
Description: processed transcript
Source: RNAcentral
GCUGAGCCUGGGGCUGAGCCUCAUCGCAGCCCAGGAGUUUAAUCCCCGCACCGUUGUGCAGAGGAACUACAACAUGGCCAGGGUUUCGGGGGUCUGGUACUCUAUUUUCAUGGCCUCAGAUGACCUGAAUCGGAUUAAAGAAAAUGGGGACCUGAGGGUCUUCGUCCGGAAUAUUGAACACUUGAAGAACGGCAGCCUAAAAUUUGAUUUCCAAUACAUGGUGCAGGGGGAGUGUGUAGCCGUGGUCGUGGUCUGCGAGAAGACAGAGAAGAAUGGGGAAUACUCCAUCAACUAUGAGGGCGAGAACACGGUGGCCGUCUCGGAGACUGACUACAGGCUGUUCAUCACCUUCCACCUCCAGAACUUCAGGAACGGGACCGAGACCCACACGCUGGCGCUCUACGCACGGGUCCCACAGCUGGAACCCUCCUUCCUGAGCAGAUUUGAAGAAACCUGCAAAAAGUACGGACUUGGCUCAAAAAAUAUCGUCGAUUUGACCAACAAAGAUCCCUGCUACUCCAAGCGUUAGAGGAGCCCGCCAAGGCCUCCCAUGU